RNAcentral lists this ribosomal RNA (1221 nucleotides) under Triticum aestivum (bread wheat). RNAcentral's name for it is "partial small subunit ribosomal RNA". Lineage: Eukaryota; Viridiplantae; Streptophyta; Magnoliopsida; Poales; Poaceae. The record is from RNAcentral.
AUGGAUCUGCCUUGUCAUCCGUGGAUGGCCAUGGUUAUCCUCCCCCUCCUCCUGCUCCUCGUGCCUCUCACCGCUGCCCAAUUGUGGCCAUCCUGUGGCGAGAGCGGCGACUACAAAUCAAAUAGCACCUACGAAGCCAACCUCAAGCUCCUCUCAACUAACCUCCCGAAGAAAGCAGCGUCAAGCACCAACCUCUUUGCCACCGACACCGUUGGCAAUGUUCCGAAUGUCAUCUUCGCCCUCGCACUCUGCCGCGGGGACUCCAACGCCUCUGCCUGCGAGGGCUGUUUGGUUACUGCCUUCCAGGACGGGCAGGUGCACUGCGCGAACUAUAAGGACGCCGCUGUGUACUAUGAUAGCGAUCCUUGCAUGCUCAGGUUCUCCAACAAGAAUUUUCUCGCCACCACCGUCAAUGAACGUAUGCUCGUCAUUGUGAGCAUCGAGAGCUUGAUGGUGAACAUCUCGACAAGAGCCGACUCCUUCAGGCUCAUGUUGUUCACGCUUCUGAACAGCACGGCUCAAUCGGCCGCGAACAGCUCGAGGAGAUUCACUACCUCGCGCUUAGAUGUCAGCGUCAGCUCCUUGCCUACGCUCUACUGCCUUAUGCAGUGCACGCCAGACCUGACCGCCGAUGAGUGCACGGCAUGUUUGCAGCCUUACCUCCAGUAUACACUCAAAUACAUGGAUGGUAAGAAAGGUGGUCGAGUACUGGGGACACGGUGUAGCAUGAGGUACGAGAUAUUUCCAUUCUUCCAAGAGGACCCCAUGCUGCGUAUUAUCAACUUAGCACCUGAAGUUCCACCGAUCAACAGCACCAUGCCACUGAUUACCGUGAACCCACCCCCGCAGCCGCAGUCACAGUCGCCGGUUGCGGCGGCACUUCAUGGACGCAAUUCACGCCGGAGGGCGCUCUGGAUUAUCGCUGCGGCAGCUCCAUUACUGUCAAUAUUUCUGUGUGCUAUCCUUUUUGUUGUAUGGAUAAGAAGACGAAGAAAAGGAACGGAAAUCUUACACGAUCAAGCUGCCGCGAAUAGGCCGGAAGAAGAUGAAUUGGUUUGGAGAUUGGAAGAGAAGAGUUCAGAGUUCACUUUGUUUGACUUAUCUGAGAUAUUGCAUGCUACACACGACUUCUCCAAAGAAAACCUACUUGGGCAAGGUGGUUUCGGCCCUGUCUACAAGCAGUGGAUUGGAACUUUGAAGGAAAUAGAAGUAAUGCAGUGA